AGAGUUAAACAGUACGUGAAAUUGUUGAAAGGGAAACGAUUAAAGUCAGUCGUACCGAUGGGUAUUCAGCUCCUUGAGUGCGAUCAUGUUGGGUGUUGGGGAGCUUAACCGCCCUCGCGCUUGCGUAUUUGUGCUCUUAGAGUGUACUUGCCCGUAUGGUAGGUUAACAUCAAUUCUGAUUAUCAUAAAAUGACGGGAGAAAUGUAGCUUCGAUCUCGUAUUGAAGUGUUAUAGCCUCUGGUAGAUGUGAUGAUCGGGAUUGAGGAUUGCAACGAACCCUUCGGGGCCACCUGUCUGGCCUCUGGUGGUCGCUCUGGUGCCGAAAGCGUGCUUACGGUUAUCAAAGUUGGUUGCCAAAAGGUUAGAACGGGUUGAUUUCGUUAAGGAUGUUGACGUAAUGGCUUUAAACGACC
This 413-nucleotide ribosomal RNA is filed under the name Rhizophagus sp. CSD-2020a. RNAcentral's name for it is "partial large subunit ribosomal RNA". Lineage: Eukaryota; Fungi; Glomeromycota; Glomeromycetes; Glomerales; Glomeraceae. The record is from RNAcentral.